This 615-nucleotide transfer RNA is filed under the name Paracidovorax avenae. Its description in RNAcentral is "partial contains 16S ribosomal RNA and 16S-23S ribosomal RNA intergenic spacer". The stretch from base 93 to 166 matches the Rfam family "tRNA". Lineage: Bacteria; Pseudomonadati; Pseudomonadota; Betaproteobacteria; Burkholderiales; Comamonadaceae. The record is from RNAcentral.
UGCGGCUGGAUCACCUCCUUUCUGGAAAACAGCAUUCAAUAUUGAACGCCCACACUUAUCGGUUGUUGGAAGAAGUCGGUGCUAACCGACAUGGGUCUGUAGCUCAGCUGGUUAGAGCACCGUCUUGAUAAGGCGGGGGUCGUUGGUUCGAGCCCAACUAGACCCACCAAAUCUUCCGAACAUAAGAUGCGAGGAUCAGUGGGGGAUUAGCUCAGCUGGGAGAGCACCUGCUUUGCAAGCAGGGGGUCGUCGGUUCGAUCCCGUCAUCCUCCACCAACCAAUAUGUCCUGCGGUAGGGCAAAGAAACUAACACCAAAGCGGCUUCGCAAGAGGCCUCUUUGUUGUUGGUCCGGUAUAGACCGGGUCAAUCGGCUGUUCUUUAAAAAUUCAUAGAGUCGAAUCAGCGUUGCCGGCGGAAAGCAGGAAACUGCACCGUGCCGUCGGCAACAAAAAUUUGAUUGCGUCAAAACGAAUAUUCAAUUGAGCGAAAGCUGAUUGAAAUUCAGUAAUGACGAAUUGUUCUCUAGGUAGCAAUACCGAAGAAGAAUUCACAUUACGGCAUAACGCGCGAGGUGAAAGACCUCGCAAGUCCUUGAAAGAAAGCGGAGAUGUCUC